GCAUCAAAUGAGAGUGACAGGUGAAACAGUUUCAAGACAAUGGCAGGAAAAGCAUGCUGAAGAUUGAAUCAAACCUUGGCUGGAAAUAUUUGAAGGGAUCUAGCCAGUCCACAAUGAAAGCUUCGUUGCCCCCCUGUGAGUCUUCUGGCAGAAAUGAUGGCGCCUGUAUUCUUUGGUUUCCCUAAACAUCACACCCUGUUUAUACGAGGCUCUUCAAUUAAGUCUGCACCCAAAGAUUCAAUAAGAGAGGGGAUCCUGCCAGUCCAAAGUGAACUCCUGAUGGACAUUGAAGUACUCCUGCAGAGCUUGUAUCUUCGACACCAUGCGCAUUAGAAACUCCACUGAGUGCUUUCCUUCACCAAGGCAGGACCCAGUGACUCAUUACUGUUGAUCGGUCAGGCGCAGGUCAUUUUUUGUUUCAUGUUUAUUCAUUUCUCCAUGGAUUACCAGCCAUAUAUAUGGACAUAUGCUGUAUUCUCAAGAUCUAUGCUGUUUGGUAGGAAUAGAGAAAAUGAUAUGUUUAGUCUGUUUUCAAAUGGUAUGUCAAAUUUUCUCAUUGUUUAUCAGUAAUAUUCACUACCUUGGUUUUAUAUGAGCAUCUUUAGAUUUUUCUAUAUUUAGCGGUUGCAAAUGUAAAAUGUACGGUAAACUAUUUAUGUUCCUCAUAUUGUACUGUAUUUUUAGCGGUAAAAUACCGGCAGCUGUGGUUGCCAGGAAUUUACCGUAAAAUGUAUCUGGUCAAAAUAAAAUGCUGUAAUUUGUUAUACAAUUUCA
Megalobrama amblycephala (Wuchang bream) is the source of this 774-nucleotide long non-coding RNA. RefSeq lists it as uncharacterized. The record is from RefSeq and is a predicted model, not a curated record. The transcript has 3 exons. Lineage: Eukaryota; Metazoa; Chordata; Actinopteri; Cypriniformes; Xenocyprididae.